This 530-nucleotide long non-coding RNA is filed under the name Lathyrus oleraceus (garden pea). Its description in RNAcentral is "Pisum sativum (pea) long non-coding RNA (PSAT_LNC021903)". The record is from RNAcentral. Lineage: Eukaryota; Viridiplantae; Streptophyta; Magnoliopsida; Fabales; Fabaceae.
AGGGAGAACCUGGAGGCAAUGGUGUGUACCUCCAAAAUUAAUAGAAAAUGAAAAAAUUACAUUAUAAUAAUUUUUUUAUUGUCUAAAUUUUAGAGAACAAAGUCAUAAAUUCAAAAUAUAUGUAAUUAUAAAACGAAAUAAAUAUAUAAAAAAUACAAUUCUUGGUUGGAGGCAUAAAUCUUAAAUGGCAACUUAUGAAGUAUUCUCCCAUAAGAUAUAUUAUUUAUAGUUUUUUGAUAUUUCAAGAACUAAUUCUUCUUAUAACUUAAAUAAUACACAUACUUUCUCCAUGCAGUCAAUUAUGUAAUCCAGCUUUUCAGCGCUAAUAAAUACGAUUUCAUAAACUUCGUUAGUUUCACAUGGAUAUGAAGUGAAAUAUAGAAUAAACAGGAUUAAUAAAACAUGAUAAAAGAUUAUGUAAGAAUUAAAAAAUAAUAAAUAAAAUAUUUAAGGGAAAAUUAUACAUAAACAAACUUGAAAAUUUUAGACACAUUUCUUUAUCUUUUAAUUUUACAAAUGAUUAAAAUUUG